CCUACGGGUGGCAGCAGUGAGGAAUAUUGCUCAAUGGCGCGAGCCUGAACCAGCCAAGUCGCGUGAAGUAUGACUGCCCUUCGGGUUGUAAACUUCUUUUAUAAAGGAAUAAAGUGAGUCACGUGUGCCUUUUUGUCUGUACUUUAUGAAUCAGGAUCAGCUAACUCAGUGCCAGCAGCCGCGGGAAUACGGAGGAUCCGAGCGUUAUCCGGAUUUAUUGGGUGUAAAGGGAGCGUAGAUGGGUUGUUAAGUCAGUUGUGAAAGUUUGCGGCGCAACCGUAAAAUUGCAAUUGAUACUAGCAGGCUUGAGUACAGUUGAGGUAGGCAGAAUGCGUGGUGUAGCGGUGAAAUGCUUAGAGAUCACGAAGAAUUCCGAUUGCGAAGGCAGCUUACUAAACUGCCACUGACAUUGAUGCUCGAAAGUGUGGGUAUCAAACAGGAUUAGAUACCCUUGUAGUC
RNAcentral lists this ribosomal RNA (459 nucleotides) under uncultured bacterium. RNAcentral describes it as "partial 16S ribosomal RNA". It matches the Rfam family "Bacterial small subunit ribosomal RNA", at positions 338 to 795 of the family's 1533-position model. The record is from RNAcentral.